This 433-nucleotide ribosomal RNA is filed under the name uncultured bacterium. RNAcentral describes it as "partial 16S ribosomal RNA". It matches the Rfam family "Bacterial small subunit ribosomal RNA", at positions 29 to 507 of the family's 1533-position model. The record is from RNAcentral.
AACGAACGCUGGCGGCAUGCCUAACACAUGCAAGUCGAACGAGACCUUCGGGUCUAGUGGCGCACGGGUGCGUAACGCGUGGGGACCUGCCCUUAGGUUCUGAAUAACUCCCCGAAAGGGGUGCUAAUACCGGAUAAUGUCUUCGGACCAAAGAUUUAUCGCCUUUGGAUGGGCCCGCGUUGGAUUAGCUAGUUGGUAGGGUAAAAGCCUACCAAGGCGACGAUCCAUAGCUGGUCUGAGAGGAUGAUCAGCCACACUGGGACUGAGACACGGCCCAGACUCCUACGGGAGGCAGCAGUGGGGAAUAUUGGACAAUGGGCGAAAGCCUGAUCCAGCAAUGCCGCGUGAGUGAUGAAGGCCUUAGGGUUGUAAAGCUCUUUUACCCGGGAUGAUAAUGACAGUACCGGGAGAAUAAGCUCCGGCUAACUCCGUG